GAAAUGCGAUACGUAGUGUGAAUUGCAGAAUACAGUGAAUCAUCGAAACCUUGAACGCAACUUGCACCCACGGGUUAACUGUGGGUACGCCUGUUUCAGCAUCGUUUUCAUUCCUCCACAAACUCUACCAUCAUUGUUGGUGGUGGUUGAGCCAGUGGGACCUGGCAGUCGAGCACUCUGUGCACGUCUGCUGAAACUCAUGAGUUGGCCGAGUACCUGCUGCACAGUAUCGGGUUCUUGGUGGGAAGCAAGUUGGGACUUUUACAGUCAAUAAAAACAUGCAACCUGCCACUGCUACAAGGUACAGUGCAAGGUUCGAGGUCGACGGCCUUCCAAUGAGUCUCAGGACUUUGGCACGUCGUUCUUCACCGAUGAACAUCACACUUUGAUCUGAAAUCAGGCGAGGCUACCCGCUGAAUUUAA
Molecule: unclassified non-coding RNA, 423 nt
Filed under: uncultured Entophlyctis
Lineage: Eukaryota; Fungi; Chytridiomycota; Chytridiomycetes; Chytridiales; Chytriomycetaceae
Description: sequence contains ITS1
Rfam family: 5.8S ribosomal RNA (bases 1-104)
Source: RNAcentral